RNAcentral lists this ribosomal RNA (497 nucleotides) under uncultured bacterium. Its description in RNAcentral is "partial 16S ribosomal RNA". It matches the Rfam family "Bacterial small subunit ribosomal RNA", at positions 28 to 507 of the family's 1533-position model. The record is from RNAcentral.
GAUGAACGCUGGCGGCGUGCCUAAUACAUGCAAGUCGAGCGAACAGACGAGGAGCUUGCUCCUCUGACGUUAGCGGCGGACGGGUGAGUAACACGUGGAUAACCUACCUAUAAGACUGGGAUAACUUCGGGAAACCGGAGCUAAUACCGGAUAAUAUAUUGAACCGCAUGGUUCAAUAGUGAAAGACGGUUUUGCUGUCACUUAUAGAUGGAUCCGCGCCGCAUUAGCUAGUUGGUAAGGUAACGGCUUACCAAGGCAACGAUGCGUAGCCGACCUGAGAGGGUGAUCGGCCACACUUGAGCUGAGACGCGGUCCAGACUCCUACGGGAGGCAGCAGUAGGGUAUCGUCCGCAAUGGGCGAAAGCAUGACGGAGCAGCGCCGCGUGAGUGAUGAAGGUCUUCGGAUCGUAAAACUCUGUUAUUAGGGAAAAACAAAUGUGUAAGUAACUAUGCACGUCUUGACGGUACCUAAUCAGAAAGCCACGGCUAACUACGUG